This 263-nucleotide ribosomal RNA is filed under the name uncultured archaeon. RNAcentral describes it as "partial 16S ribosomal RNA". It matches the Rfam family "Archaeal small subunit ribosomal RNA", at positions 748 to 1009 of the family's 1478-position model. The record is from RNAcentral.
CAGCCGUAAACUAUGCGCGUUAGGUGUAUCGGUGACCACGAGUUACCGAGGUGCCGAAGGGAAACCGUGAAACGUGCCGCCUGGGAAGUACGGUCGCAAGGCUGAAACUUAAAGGAAUUGGCGGGGGGAGCACCACAACGGGUGGAGCCUGCGGUUUAAUUUGGACUCAACGCCGGGAAGCUCACCGGAUAAGACAGCGGAAUGAUUGCCGGGCUGAAGACUCUGCAUGACUAGCUGAGAGGAGGUGCAUGGCGUAGACGUCU